CUACGGGUGGCUGCAGUGAGGAAUAUUGCACAAUGGGGGGAACCCUGAUGCAGCAACGCCGCGUGGAGGAUGACGCAUUUCGGUGUGUAAACUCCUUUUAUCAGAGAAGAACAUGACGGUAUCUGAUGAAUAAGCUCCGGCUAACUCCGUGCCAGCAGCCGCGGUAAUACGGAGGGAGCAAGCGUUAUUCGGAAUCACUGGGCGUAAAGGACGCGUAGGCGGGACAGUAAGUCAGGUGUGAAAUCCAAUGGCUCAACCAUUGAACUGCACUUGAAACUGCUGACCUAGAGUACUGAAGGGGCAGAUGGAAUUAGUGGUGUAGGGGUAAAAUCCGUAGAUAUCACUAGGAAUACCGAAAGCGAAGGCGAUCUGCUGGGAAGUUACUGACGCUGAGGCGUGAAAGCGUGGGGAGCAAACAGGAUUAGAUACCCGAGUAGUC
This 439-nucleotide ribosomal RNA is filed under the name uncultured bacterium. RNAcentral describes it as "partial 16S ribosomal RNA". It matches the Rfam family "Bacterial small subunit ribosomal RNA", at positions 339 to 795 of the family's 1533-position model. The record is from RNAcentral.